UACGUAGGGUGCGAGCGUUGUCCGGAAUUAUUGGGCGUAAAGAGCUCGUAGGCGGUCUGUCGCGUCGCUGUGAAAACUCGGGGCUCAACCCCGAGCCUGCAGCCGAUACGGGCAGACUAGAGUUCGGCAGGGGAGACUGGAAUUCCUGGUGUAGCGGUGAAAUGCGCAGAUAUCAGGAGGAACACCGGUGGCGAAGGCGGGUCUCUGGGCCGAUACUGACGCUGAGGAGCGAAAGCGUGGGGAGCAAACAGG
Molecule: ribosomal RNA, 252 nt
Filed under: uncultured bacterium
Lineage: Bacteria
Description: partial 16S ribosomal RNA
Rfam family: Bacterial small subunit ribosomal RNA
Source: RNAcentral